Long non-coding RNA from Equus quagga, 619 nucleotides. RefSeq lists it as uncharacterized. Lineage: Eukaryota; Metazoa; Chordata; Mammalia; Perissodactyla; Equidae. The transcript is spliced from 3 exons. The record is from RefSeq and is a predicted model, not a curated record.
GAUGUUUUAAAGGAUCUGUGCAGGCUGUUCUCACUGGACUGGACCGCCCACGGGAGGGGCCGCAGCUGAGUGGGGUUCAGGAUGGCGUUCGGAGAAGAAGAACCGGGGGUGCCAGCAGUCACCAUCAGAGAGGAGAAGGAGAAUGACCCCAGAUGAAGGUAAUGAGAAGCGAAGAAAGUAUGAAAUGCAGAGGGAAGCCCAGAAGAAACGGAGUUUGCAAAUACGUGGAGAAUUAGAGUCCUAACAAUAAAGAAAUCAGGAGGAGGAGCGCCUCAUUCAUCUGUUUGGAUCACCACUACCCAGCCGUGCUGUAGGCACUGUGACUCGGUUUACUUGGUGAUAAAGCUUGAAUUAUAGAGAAUAUUCUCUGCCCAUUGUGUUACGUCUUCACCUAACAUCAGUCACAUGAGAGACUUCUUCCCCCCACCUCCCACUCAAACACUCAAAGAUGCCUGGUCCUGAGGCAGAUCCCCCUGCUUGAGCCCAAGACCCCAGUGGAGAGGAGGGUAUGUCUGCUGCCCCUCCAUUCCCAAGUCCCACCUGGCUUCCUGAGAAGAUACGACAAUGUGGUCUCACUUUCUGUACCACUUCCCCGCUGCCCUCCCCGAACACAGCAAUU